RNAcentral lists this ribosomal RNA (240 nucleotides) under uncultured bacterium. RNAcentral describes it as "partial 16S ribosomal RNA". It matches the Rfam family "Bacterial small subunit ribosomal RNA", at positions 524 to 763 of the family's 1533-position model. The record is from RNAcentral.
UACGUAGGUGGCAAGCGUUAUCCGGAUUUAUUGGGUGUAAAGGGCGUGUAGGCGGGAGUGCAAGUCAGAUGUGAAAACUAUGGGCUCAACCCAUAGCCUGCAUUUGAAACUGUACUUCUUGAGUGCUGGAGAGGCAAUCGGAAUUCCGUGUGUAGCGGUGAAAUGCGUAGAUAUACGGAGGAACACCAGUGGCGAAGGCGGAUUGCUGGACAGUAACUGACGCUGAGGCGCGAAAGCGUG